CCUUUUUUACUUUGUUUCAUCUAGUAGUUGGUAGAACAGGGGUUGAAUUUUUUUUUGUAGAACAGGGGUACUGCUUACAAGUUUUCUUUAUUUCUUUACAGGGGUGCUUCUACCAGAGCACGAGUAGUCACUCGGACACUAACGCCAUACGGCCGUGAGAAGGAAGGUGCAUUUGCGUGGGUCUUUGUGGUGCGGCGGCGGGCUCGGGUUGGGAGCGGUUUAGCGGUUAUCGGGGGUGUUUCGAGGUGGGCUGGGUGGUGGGCGUUUAGGAUUGGGAUUGCGAGGACCGGUAGUGGCGCCGGCGGUACCACUCGCUUCGGCGGUUGCGGCCGUAGCUGGCGCACGACACCUGCCUCCGGCUCUAGCGGUGCGCCCAGCGGCUCCAGCGGAGCCUCGAGCGGCGGCUGUAGGCGGCCGAGCGCCUCGGCCGACAGCAGCACCCGCAGCGGUGCCCCCGCAAGGAGAAGGAGCGACUGGACCACGCCGCGCAGCUGCACGGCGAGCGGCAGCUGGAGCACGCGCAGCUCAGCAUACCGCUGCCGUGGCUCAGGUCGCCGGCCGGGGCCCAGUGGCGACUGGAGUUCCAGCUGCAGCGGCCCUUCGUGCAGCACCACCAACUUCUAUAACACCUGUGUCCCUUAUGACAAAGGACAGAGUAACGGGUAAAUGUUUUCUUUCCUCGUGACAGGUAUAGUCAAACGUGAAAGGACCUGUUUGGUCGUUCCUCCUGUCAGCUAAAAGUCGAUCACCCCCCACCUUUUAAAAUGUCUCCGAAGCUCACGGGGCUGUCGAAACAACAACCGAUACCAUACCUAAUACGCCUCGAGAUGGCGUUGGACGGGAUACAACCUCAAGAGUUCGGACUCUACAUGUCAUUCUUUUGACUGUUGAUCCGGCCUUCGUCUGUUCUGAACGUUGGGGAAAACGUUCUCGUGUAUUUAAAACUUCUUUGUGUUUGUAAAGCCAAAAAUAUAAACAUCCGUUUAACACGAAUUAAAACGUGUUCUGUACAAGGAAAGAAGUAAACCCGACUCCCUUAAUAAGACAAGGAGAUUUAUUCGUAUUGUGCUUCGUAAAACGGGUAUACGACGUUGGUACUUCUUUUAGAUAGACCAACAUACUGUACAAGGCAGCAGGUAAGUGUCUAGUGUUGACCAGACGAACAUUCGAUAUAUGAGCAGUUCAAGGACGUUUUUUUAAUCUCUCACAAAUAGAGGAAUAAAUAACACUACUCUUGUUUUCCCAAAAGGUCUUAGCAUCACCCCAAAAGGUCUUAUCUCAUGGGCGUCCGGCAAUCUUUGAAACUUUACGAUAAAGGAAAAACUACCUAUAAAAAGAAGACACCUUGUACUCCAACUUCACAGGGUGAGCCCUACAUCACACGGUGACGUUAGGGGGACAGGACAGGAGAAAAAGGAGCAACACCGGUGUCGAGGCCGGUACCGCUACUCGAAGAACAGGUGGCGAUUGCGUAGCAAGCACGGGAAGGCGGCGGAGAGGGCGGUGUUCGGGUGGCGGUGGGGGAGCGAGGUCAAGGGGUGGUUAGCCGCGGCGAGUGGGAGGACGAGGGAAGAGGGAGGGGUCGUGGCCGCGGAGAGGAGAAGGUUCCGGGGGUGGUGGUUGGAGGAGAGUAGUUAGUGCCGGCGGAGCUCUUGUGACGAGAAGGACGAGCAGCGGAGGUAGGAGAGGGAGAGGCCGCAGGCCGCGGGGGAGGGCAGUGAGCGGCGGGGAGGGGGUGGGUGCGUCGUUGGCGUUCUGCUGUGGUUCCCCGUCGUUCUUCUUCUUGGGCUGGUUCCCCUAGUCCUUCUCCUCCUGCUCCGCCUCACCAAAGCCUUCCUCCUCCUCCUCCACCUCCGCCGGACCUACGUCGGUUCGCUGCUCCUCCUCCUCCUUCUCCUGCUACUGCUCCAGGUCUACAUGGACCUCCAGGACUCGCUCCUGGGCCCGCUGCACCUGCGCGAGUUCACGCACGAGAAGCGGUCCUACGCCGCGUUCCUGACCCCGCCGCGCGACGCGAUGCGCCGCGUCGACGCCCUCCGGCUCGGGCCGCUCCACCUCACCGCCGAGUACCUCCGCGACGACGUGCUCGAGUUGCCCCUGUAGCGGUGGCGGCUCGCCGAGAAGGUCCUCCAGGAGCGCCUCUUCGGGGAGGAGCAGGCCCGAGAGGUACCUGAGCGUAACACGUACGUAUUUUCCGAGCUUCCAGGUUGACAAAAGCUCUACGACCUCUUUCGAAACGUUGAACGUCAUAGGCUCCUUUCCCAGGGUCUUCUCGCGUUGUAUUUCGAAGACUAACGUGUCUACGUACAACAGUUCCCACUGGACCUAGAACGUAGUCUCUUCGACUCUUGAGAAUAAUUGCUCCUAGGUUCCCUAAAAGCCGGAGUAGAAACGGUCCCGUAACAUAUACGUGAAGACCUGUUUUUCCUUCUUCGUCUGCUCGUUAAACUGCACAUGUCUUCGGAACACGGCCUACUCAAGGGCCUGUUCUCAAAAUAGUUACUACAAUAUGAUAGCCGGUUUCACCUCAGUUUUCUAGCCGAUGUCUUCCUGAAAUCUAGUCUCAUGGAUAGAUUUUUCACUCUGGACUCCAAAAGGAUAUGGACUUGCCGAGUAGUAUGAAUCACUCCAUCAAGAUCUAGCAACGCAUAAAGACGCGUAUGUCAAUGUGUUCACGUUGCAACGAUAUUACUUCUAUUCACUUCCUCUACACCUAGAGGACAUUGGAUUGGUCCAAGGAUGUUGAAAAUCGAGUAAACAAUUAGGAGUUUGCGAACGGUGUGUUGGUACUUAACGUAUAUGUACGCGUACUUUACGAAUUCUGGAAGAUUAAAGACUGUCUCUACGUG
RNAcentral lists this ribosomal RNA (2849 nucleotides) under Triticum aestivum (bread wheat). RNAcentral's name for it is "partial small subunit ribosomal RNA". The record is from RNAcentral. Lineage: Eukaryota; Viridiplantae; Streptophyta; Magnoliopsida; Poales; Poaceae.